GAGAUCGGGGUAACGACCUGGAAACAGAUGCUAAUACCGGAUAACAACAGAUGAUGCCUAUCAACUGUUUAAAAGAUGGUUCUGCUAUCACUCUUGGAUGGACCUGCGGUGCAUUAGCUAGUUGGUAGGGUAACGGCCUACCAAGGCGAUGAUGCAUAGCCGAGUUGAGAGACUGAUCGGCCACAUUGGGACUGAGACACGGCCCAAACUCCUACGGGAGGCAGCAGUC
This 229-nucleotide ribosomal RNA is filed under the name uncultured Lactobacillus sp. Its description in RNAcentral is "partial 16S ribosomal RNA". It matches the Rfam family "Bacterial small subunit ribosomal RNA", at positions 134 to 355 of the family's 1533-position model. The record is from RNAcentral. Lineage: Bacteria; Bacillati; Bacillota; Bacilli; Lactobacillales; Lactobacillaceae.